CCUACGGGUGGCAGCAGUGAGGAAUAUUGGUCAAUGGGCGCGAGCCUGAACCAGCCAAGCAGCGUGAAGGAUGACUGCCCUACGGGUUGUAAACCUCUUUUAUAAAGGAAUAAAGUGAGGCACGCGUGCCUUUUUGUAUGUACUUUAUGAAUAAGGAUCGGCUAACUCCGUGCCAGCAGCCGCGGUAAUACGGAGGAUCCGAGCGUUAUCCGGAUUUAUUGGGUUUAAAGGGAGCGUAGAUGGGUUGUUAAGUCAGUUGUGAAAGUUUGCGGCUCAACCGUAAAAUUGCAGUUGAAACUGGCAGCCUUGAGUACAGUUGAGGUAGGCGGAAUUCGUGGUGUAGCGGUGAAAUGCUUAGAUAUCACGAAGAACUCCGAUUGCGAAGGCAGCUUACUAAACUGCCACUGACGUUGAUGCUCGAAAGUGUGGGUAUCAAACAGGAUUAGAUACCCUGGUAGUC
Molecule: ribosomal RNA, 460 nt
Filed under: uncultured bacterium
Lineage: Bacteria
Description: partial 16S ribosomal RNA
Rfam family: Bacterial small subunit ribosomal RNA
Source: RNAcentral